This 1352-nucleotide ribosomal RNA is filed under the name Nototeredo knoxi. RNAcentral's name for it is "16S ribosomal RNA". The stretch from base 657 to 1352 matches the Rfam family "Archaeal large subunit ribosomal RNA", at positions 1423 to 2806 of the family's 2987-position model. The record is from RNAcentral. Lineage: Eukaryota; Metazoa; Mollusca; Bivalvia; Myida; Teredinidae.
GAUACAGAGAGAUUACAGAAGUUUUAUUUAGGAGAUUAUAAGUAAGCGAGACGUUUAGAAGAGAUUGUUUUCGUACUUUUUGCAUCAUGGGGCAUAGAGUUUGCUUGAGGUUUCACGUUCCUGAAAGGCUCUGAGCUAUCUUAUCUUGCGCGUUAGGCUCUUUAUGGGCGGCCGCCAAGCGGCCACCCGUUGGUUUUGUCGUUUCGGUUGAACUCCUGGGUCUUUGUGGGUCUGUGGUGUUGCAUUAUCACAGGAAAAGGUUUGAUAGACAGUGAAAUGUUUGUCGCAGGGUCUUAUAGCUGGUUAAGCGGAAAGUGCGCAUAAGUGCAGCGUUGAAAUUUUACUUGAGAGAAUCAAAAGAAGGUCUGGUAAGUCGUCGAUAGUGAGGUUGUAGGGGUAAGCUCUACAACAGUGAGAUUUUAUUGAAUUAUAUGUAAGUAGAGUUAAUAUUGCUUGUCUUAUUUUGAAGUCUUGUUCAAAGUGGCUUUUUAAGAGGUUCAAUUCUUAGUACCGUUUUACGUCGAAAAGCUUUUAUGGGUUAACUUAGUAUGCUAUUUGUAGGUAUCUCGUAGUUUCAGACUACUUGAGUUAGAUAAGCUGCAGCUUGGUUUUUAGUUCGAUUGUCUUGGGUUGUUGAUUUAUUAAAAUUCAUUUUUCAUCCGUGUGUAUCGGGUGUAAGAGGAAAAAAUAGGUGUUUGAAAAAGUGGAUUUAAGGAACUCGGCAAAUAUUUUCUUCGCCUGUUUAUUAAAAACAUCGCUCUCAGUAAGCUAAACAUUGGGAGUCGUGCCUGCCCGGUGGAUUAUGUUUUCUAAACGGUUGCUAUUAAUAGUAGUACUAAGGUAGCGCAAUUGAUUGUCCCUUAAUUAGGGAAGGGAAUGAAUGGCUUGACGUGGAAAUGCUGUCUCAAAUUCAAUUGCUGAGCUUUACUUCUAGGUGCAAAGGCUUAGAUGUUUAUAUUAGACGAGAAGACCCCGUCGAGCUUGAUGAGGCCUUUUAAUUGGUUUAGGGGGUUGAAGUUUUGUUGGGGCAACAAAAAGCAAGAUUAAUGCAUUUGUGAUUGUAUUAUUAAGAUCCUCUAGUAGGGAUAGGGAGAAAAAGCUACCGCGGGGAUAACAGCGUAAUGUUUUUGGAUAGAUCAUAUUGAAGAAAAGUGUUGCGACCUCGAUGUUGAAUUAGGGUGUUAUCCUGGCGCAGCCGUUGGGAUUGUAGGUCUGUUCGCCCUUUAGAACCCUACAUGAUUUGAGUUUAGACCGGCGUGAGCUAGGUCGGAUUCUAUCUUUAUUUUAGGUCUUCUUUGUACGAAAGGAUCGGGGGGCCGGGCAUUGCCUUUAUUAGUUUUAUAAAUUUUAAA